CGGAGGUCAAGUUUUGUAUAAAUGGUGGCCGUUUUCAGUCGUUCAAUCAAUUCAGAAAUUAAUGGAAGAGGAUAUCUAUUUUUUAUAGUUAUUUUAUUUAGCGCACGGUAAUCAAUGAUGGGACGAAUAGUUUUACCCUUGUUUUUGACAAAGAAUAUAGCAAAUGCAGCGGGAGAAGUAGAUGGUCUAAUGAAUCCUUUGCGCAGAUUUUCUUCUAGGUAUUAUUUAAGAGUCUUUAGUUCAGGUUCAGAAAGUGGAUAUAUAGGCCCAAAAGGUAUAGCAGCUCCAGGUAAAAGAUUAAUAGGACAGUCGUAUAUCCUAUGGGGAGGAAGGAUUCAGCUUCAGUUUUAUUGAAGACAUCUUUAAAUUCAUUAUAGUGUACAGAUAUCUUUACUUCAUCAGUAAUUUGAAGUAAAGGGAAGAUGAGGAUAACAAUUUUCAUUUCAAAAUUUGGAUAUGAAGUACAGAGAUAGGAGAAUACUGAUAUGACUGUUGUGAAGUUGUAACCAGUUCAUGCCAAG
Pelobates cultripes (western spadefoot toad) is the source of this 521-nucleotide non-coding RNA. The record is from the annotation of a GenBank genome assembly. Lineage: Eukaryota; Metazoa; Chordata; Amphibia; Anura; Pelobatidae.